RNAcentral lists this ribosomal RNA (301 nucleotides) under uncultured bacterium. Its description in RNAcentral is "partial 16S ribosomal RNA". It matches the Rfam family "Bacterial small subunit ribosomal RNA", at positions 509 to 808 of the family's 1533-position model. The record is from RNAcentral.
CAGCCGCCGCGGGAAUACGAACCGUGCGAACGUUAUUCGGAAUUACUGGGCUUAAAGCGCGUGUAGGCGGCUCGGCACGUCCGGAACUGAAAUCCCCCGGCUCAACCGGGGAGGGUCAUUGGAAACUGGGAAACUUGAGUGCAGAAGAGGAGAGUGGAAUUCCACGUGUAGCGGUGAAAUGCGUAGAGAUGUGGAGGAACACCAGUGGCGAAGGCGACUCUCUGGUCUGUAACUGACGCUGAGGAGCGAAAGCGUGGGGAGCGAACAGGAUUAGAUACCCCUGUAGUCCCUGUCUCUUAUU